RNAcentral lists this long non-coding RNA (597 nucleotides) under Parus major (Great Tit). RNAcentral's name for it is "lncRNA (ENSPMJG00000016759.1)". Lineage: Eukaryota; Metazoa; Chordata; Aves; Passeriformes; Paridae. The record is from RNAcentral.
GAGCGUGGGACGCCAGGAAACAUUCAGAUUUCAAGCCUUGCACAGGGGCAGAAUUCACAUUCAAUGAGGUCUGAGGGAAGGCUGCCUUUGGCCAGCAAGGUGCUCGCCAGCCCUGGCACUCAUCUGUGGCUCUCUUCCUUCUCCUCCCUGAUGCCCAGCUCCAGUAACAUGGCUGAAAACAGCCAGUGGUGGAAAUUCCGAGAUGAUCCUAGCAGGGCAGUCACAGGAGGAGCUGGCUAUCAAAGACCAUCCUACACUUCCCCUGCCUGGCCGACAGUUUUCACCUCCAAAUUCAGGGAAGAUGUGUCUGUGGUUAGGACAGAGCCAAACACCAGUCAAGACACAACCAAAAUGAGUGCCCAGUGGCCAGAAUGGGCUGGAAAUGGAGUGAUCACAGAGGGGCAACAUGAAGUGCCCCCAGACUCCUGGACCACAGGGAUUUACUGUCCCUUCGCUGCACAGCCAUCACCAGAGCACCACCCUGCCUGCACUGCUCACCUGGAUCCAGCCCAACAAUUCUGCAGAUUUAUUUUGCAAUUGUUUCUCCCAAUUGUUUGGUAUUUCUCAGGGUUUCAAGCAAACUGGGAAAAAAAAUAA